CCUACGGGUGGCUGCAGUGGGGAAUAUUGCACAAUGGGGGACACCCUGAUGCAGCGAAGCCGCGUGAGCGAAGAAGUCUUUCGGUAUGUAAAGCUCUAUUAGCAGGGAAGAAAAUGACGGUACCUGUGUAUGAAGCUCCGGCUAAAUACGUGCCAGCAGCCGCGGUACUACGGCUGGAGCAAGCGUUAUCCGGAUUUACUGGGCGUAAAGGGAGCGUAGGCGGCCUGCCAAGUCUGAUGUGAAAGACCGGGGCUCAACCCCGGGGCUGCAUUGGAAACUGGCAGGCUGGAGUGCCGGAGAGGCAGGCGGAAUUCGUAGUGUAGCGGUGAAAUGCGUAGAUAUUAGGAAGAACACCAGUGGCGAAGGCAGCCUGCUGGACGGUAACUGACGCUGAGGCUCGAAAGCGUGGGGAGCAAACAGGAUUAGAUACCCCGGUAGUC
This 440-nucleotide ribosomal RNA is filed under the name uncultured bacterium. RNAcentral's name for it is "partial 16S ribosomal RNA". It matches the Rfam family "Bacterial small subunit ribosomal RNA", at positions 338 to 795 of the family's 1533-position model. The record is from RNAcentral.